This 253-nucleotide ribosomal RNA is filed under the name uncultured bacterium. RNAcentral's name for it is "partial 16S ribosomal RNA". It matches the Rfam family "Bacterial small subunit ribosomal RNA", at positions 524 to 776 of the family's 1533-position model. The record is from RNAcentral.
UACGUAGGGUGCAAGCGUUGUCCGGAAUUAUUGGGCGUAAAGAGCUCGUAGGCGGUCUGUCACGUCGGACGUGAAAAUCCAGGGCUCAACCCUGGACCUGCAUUCGAUACGGGCAGACUAGAGUUCGGUAGGGGAGACUGGAAUUCCUGGUGUAGCGGUGAAAUGCGCAGAUAUCAGGAGGAACACCGGUGGCGAAGGCGGGUCUCUGGGCCGAAACUGACGCUGAGGAGCGAAAGCGUGGGGAGCGAACAGG